RNAcentral lists this long non-coding RNA (2114 nucleotides) under Homo sapiens (human). RNAcentral describes it as "HSALNT0026808". Lineage: Eukaryota; Metazoa; Chordata; Mammalia; Primates; Hominidae. The record is from RNAcentral.
UGCUAAUAUUUGACCCAUAUUUAAGUGUGCAAAAACCUUCUCAAGGCAGCACAACAUCUUUUGAUUUUUUAACAUCAGCACUGAGUUUACCUGUUUUUUUUCUUUGGUCACUUUUGUCUUCUUCCUUUCCCAUUCUCUUCUUUAGUUGACAAGCACUGGCUACCAUCUAUGUGUCAACAAUUGUGUCAUGAGUUUGAGAUGGGCCGACAGCACGUGGAACUCAAAGGUGACUAAGGGAGAAAGGAAAGUAAAUCAAUGAUCAGAGUCCAGAGAGCUACAUGCAGUGCAACCCAUGGUUUUAUGGGAGAACCGACAGGGGCACCUCACUCUGGAAGGAACAACGCCAGGAGAGGCUUUGAGGUGCCGAUAAUGUCCAGGAACUUGUUUGGAAUUGAGCCUUGAUUCUGAAAAGAAAGUAUCAGAGGGCAGCAUUUGAACUGGCAUUUAAGGUGUCAACCAGGGGGAAUUUGGUGCCGACCAGUAAAAGGGGAGAAUCAAAAACAGAAGCUCCAUCACCAGGGACAGGGCCAGACUCCUGACUAGAAACUCAGUGGAUGUGCUGAAUCAUUCGGAUACUUUCCAGAAAAUUAUUUUACCUACUCAGAAGGCUGGGCAUCAGCCAAAACUGUCUGGAAAACCACAAGGAAAGACAUUUCCAUGAAGUAACUAGAGUUUUGGGCUUCUACUCUAGAGGAAUAUAAGAGGAACUUUCUUUAAAGAGUAUGCAGGUGGUUCCUUUUAAGCUCACCUGUCUGGUUUUUCAAACAGAUCAAGGGGUGAUGGCAGGGAAACGUCUCCCCUGGAAAUCUCACCCCUCCAUUUGCUAAAGAGAAGGAGCUUCAAUCCCUUGACAGGAUGAUGAAACAAUAAUAAACUGAUGUGACCAAGUCUCAUGCCAGCAGUCCUACCUGUGGCCCACCCUUCUCGUGGCCAACAAUGGCUUUUCUUAAAUAAAUAAAAAUCAAGAUUUGUACCACUCCUGCUGUAAGCUCUUCAGUGGCUCAUGGAUGAAUGAACAGGAUCACCAUUGGCACACAAGUCCCCCCACAGAUCACCUACUCAUCUUUCCACCCCAGCUUUUGCCAUUCUCUCCCCAUCCCACAAAUCCAUUGCCAUCCAAAGAUAAGAAAGAUACCAGAUAGGGCUUCCCAGUUGCAGCAGAGUGGACUGUCUUUACACUGGAGGGCUAUUCUUCCACAAAGAAGUCUUCUCCCCCGUGGGAAGGGAUUGGAGUACUUCUCCUAGGCACUAUGUGAGCAGAUGGUUGAGAAAUGAGCUAGCCCUUGAGCUUCUGCAGCAAGGGAGGGUCCCAUCAUGAGAGCAGAUGGUAUGGGAAAUGCACCAGUUUGGAAUUGGGAGGAACAAGUUUCAGGCCUGACUCAGAUACAGAUACUUGCCAUCAUCAGUAUGCCCUUGAAUGAACUAUAAAGUGUCUCUGAACCUCUGUUGUCUCCUUUGCAGUGUUGAGCCAAGGUUAUAUACCACACAGGGAUUGAGGAAGAGGAAUUAAGGCAGCGUACAUGGAAGUGGCUGGCUCAGUCAUCACUGGCUAAACGCUACUUGAAUUCCAUUCUAAAACUCCACAUAGAAAGGCAAUUUGACAAAAUUUGAUCAUCCCUUCACCCCAAUUAUCACCCCGUGAACUUUUCUUCCAUUUAUCACCCUUGGAUUUCGUAGCUCGGCACACACAGUCUUUCUCCCUCUCUCACUUCUUUCUUUCUCUCCUUUUUUCUUCUUCUGUUAAACCUAAGAAAUUCUAAUGCUGAAGAGGGUUUUCUUAAGGUGAUUCUCCUGGAAAAGAUGACUCUUUAAGCAAAAAUUCAGACUUUCUCUAGAGUGACCGAGACAUGUAGGUGGCGGUAGCAAUACAGGCUGACCUUCCAGCAUGGUCCUGGGAACCACAGGUCAGCUCUGCUGCAGAUGCCCAGACAGCGUGUCUCUUCCUGAAACAAAUCGACUUCCACAUGGCUCUUCUGAAGACUAAGAUGGCCACGUCUAUCUAAUGAACCCAUCCUGCCACCUCCAUUUGGGUCCUGGAAAUGGACCGAGCUCUUUUGUGGUUCCCUGUACAUUUCAGCGUGCAUCUUUAGCUAUGAGAGGUCAUUUGCUGCCAG